UUAGGCCAAGCGAGAGAUACGGACUAAUAACAACUGCAGACCAAAUGAAGGCAGAACAGACAGCCCCCAAGUCUUACAGGACGAGGAGCAAGAAGGCACCAUUUCAUAUGCAAGACUCCAGUUCCCCCCCACUGGGUCCAAGGAGCACACUGUUUAUUCCAGGGUCAUGAACCGGAACUUGGCACCAGAUUCCUCAAAUGACAGAGUGAUCUACAGUGUAGUAAAGAAACUUGAACUUCCCCCCAAGAAUGACACCAAGGUGGAUUAUGAGAAUGUUGUGAACAAAGAAGAAGAGGAAUUGCACUACUCUUCCUUGGUGAACCUGACGCCACGGUCCCAUCCCAUCAAUGCAGACUUAGAAACAGAUUCUGAAUCAGAAGACAGCAUCCAGUAUGCAGCUCUGAAGCACUGAUCUAUUUAGGAUCACAGAGAUCAGGACUCUUCCCAUUCCACAACUGGGGAGUGGGAAUGAAUUAGAAUUGGGUGUGUCUAUAGCUUUCUUUUUACAGCCAAGAAUUGCAGAGCUCUGCGGGUAAAAGAGGAAAGAUAAAGUAGGAUAAGGAGCCAAUAAAGCCAGCAUUUAUGUUUAUAUUAUGUGUCCAAGUCAACAACUGGAGGUAUAUGGCUUUAUAAGGGUCAGCUUUCAACAUAUCAACCUAAUUCACUGAUGGGUGAGAUAUCCUUUUCUUCUUGACUAAUAUAGCUUGCUCUUCUCUUUCUGAUGUUCAAUCCACCCAUUAGGGAUACUGAAAAGAAUUGUAGAGCAGAUCAGAUGAUUUUUUUCAUGUAGUCUGGUUCUUUCAAUUCUGAGUAGUAGCACCUUUCCAGACCAGAUAUCUUCCAGACUAGAGAUCCAUAAUUUGCUACCUAGCCUAUCAAAUUGUCACGGAUUGGAUCUUCUGUGAUGGUACAGGCACUUCUAGCUUACUGGUUCCCAACCAUGUAGGAUCUAUUACUAAACAGUUCUCCAAAAUAAAUUAGACAAUUAUCCCAGGUACAUUUUUUCCUUCUGUGCUUCUCAGAGUAUAGUUGGCUUUGCUUGGCCAGGUCAGUUAAAUUCCUAGUGCCUGCAUUUGCAUAACAAUCUCAGCUUGAUGAGUUUAGCCUUGCUUUUGUGUGUUUCUGUGCACACAUGUGGCUUAAAGUGUUGGGCAAACCGAGCCCAUUUGGUUAGUGUAUUGUUCGAUUUGUGCAAGCCCAGUUAGUUCAGCAACUAACUUGUUGAAUGAACCCAUCAUGUGUAGUGAUGAAGUUUCCCACCUUUAACUUAUGCAUAGGGACAUAGGAAGCAGUAUAAUCCAAGUGAAACAACCAACCUUUCCAAUUUAGUACCUUCUAAAAACUGCACUAUUUUUAUGAGAUGUCAGAAAUUUUUUUUUUCCUAAUCUAUCUGAGAUGACAGGAAUUGAAACUGAGAUCUCUGGCGAGCAAUAUAUUGCUUCCACCAAUGAGCGACAAUAUGCUUCUAUGGUCAUUCCACAUGGAUAGUGAGAUACUCCAAGUGAAGAAAGAUGUAUAACCAGGAGCAGGAGCAGGAGCAGGAGCAGGAGCAGGAGCAGGAGCAGGAGCAGGAGCAGGAGCAGGAGCAGGUUGGAAAUCAUGGGCUCACACUGAUGGACUUCACAGUGCAGGAGACAGAAGGAGCACCAGCACACAGCUGUCCUGUGGUUCUGUCCUGGCUAUUUCACUCUGUUGUCUAAUAAUUGCCAACAAAAUGAUCAGAUGUAAAAAGAGAGAAGGACCUAGCAUCAUUCUUCUAACUAUAUCUGUUAUGGAAUCAUUCCAAAAUGUAUGUUAA
Molecule: non-coding RNA, 1798 nt
Organism: Python bivittatus (Burmese python)
Lineage: Eukaryota; Metazoa; Chordata; Lepidosauria; Squamata; Pythonidae
Source: RefSeq, a predicted model, not a curated record